GGUGGCUCAGUGGUAGAGUGCUUGCCUUGCAUGCAUGAAGCCCUGGAUUCGAUUCCUAGCACCA
Molecule: transfer RNA, 64 nt
Filed under: Dipodomys ordii (Ord's kangaroo rat)
Lineage: Eukaryota; Metazoa; Chordata; Mammalia; Rodentia; Heteromyidae
Rfam family: tRNA
About the family: Transfer RNA (tRNA) molecules are approximately 80 nucleotides in length. Their secondary structure includes four short double-helical elements and three loops (D, anti-codon, and T loops).
Source: Rfam by way of RNAcentral